AACGAGCGCUGGCGGCAGGCCUAACACAUGCAAGUCGGGCGCUGUAGCAAUACAGAGCGGCGCACGGGAUAAUAACGCGUGGGAACCUACCUUAUGGUUCGGAAUAACAUCGGGAAACUGGUGCUAAUACCGGAUAAGCCCUUCGGGGGAAAGAUUUAUUGCCAUUAGAUGGGCCCGCGUUAGAUUAGCUAGUUGGUGAGGUAACGGCUCACCAAGGCGACGAUCUAUAGCUGGUCUGAGAGGAUGAUCAGCAUCACUGGGACUGAGACACGGCCCAGACUCCUACGGGAGGCAGCAGUGGGGAAUAUUGGACAAUGGGGGAAGCCCUGAUCCAGCCAUGCCGCGUGAAUGAUGAAGGCCUUCGGGUUGUAAAGUUCUUUUGACGGGGACGAUGAUGACGGUACCCGUAGAAUAAGCUCCGGCUAACUUCGUGCCAGCCGCCGCCGUAA
Molecule: ribosomal RNA, 449 nt
Filed under: uncultured bacterium
Lineage: Bacteria
Description: partial 16S ribosomal RNA
Rfam family: Bacterial small subunit ribosomal RNA
Source: RNAcentral